CCCCCCCCGCCCCGUGCUGGUUCUGGAGAUAAAGGCAAAGUGCAUCCAGACGUAUACCCUGUGUCACUUCACUGUUCAGCGCGCGGAUUUCUUGUCAACCUCAGCUACUGAGGUCACAUCCUCUGUCGGUGUUGGAAUAAGAAUUUCAAGUAAGACGGAUUGAUGCCUGCGUGCUGGUGGGAUUUCAUUUGGGAGAUCACAGAUGGCCUUCAGCUUUGAGGAUCAAAUUGAACCAUGAUUCUAAAUGAGAAAUAGAAGGAAAAUGCUGUAGGAGAUUAAAAGCCUUGUCAUUGAGGAGCCAAAGUAUUGGCGGGAUGUUAUCUCUAUCUGCAGAAACCUUCAUGGGCGUGAGGGGGGGAAAAGG
Gavia stellata (red-throated loon) is the source of this 364-nucleotide long non-coding RNA. RefSeq lists it as uncharacterized. The transcript is spliced from 3 exons. The record is from RefSeq and is a predicted model, not a curated record. NCBI's taxonomy places the organism in Eukaryota, Metazoa, Chordata, Aves, Gaviiformes, Gaviidae.